UACGGAGGGGGCAAGCGUUAUUCGGAAUUAUUGGGCGUAAAGAGCGCGCAGGCGGUCGAAUAAGUCGAAUGUGAAAGCCCCCGGCUUAACUGGGGAGGGUCAUUCGAUACUGCUCGACUUGAAGGCAGGAGAGGGUAGUGGAAUUCCCGGUGUAGUGGUGAAAUGCGUAGAUAUCGGGAGGAACACCAGUGGCGAAGGCGACUACCUGGCCUGUUCUUGACGCUGAGGCGCGAAAGCUGGGGGAGCAAACGGG
Molecule: ribosomal RNA, 253 nt
Filed under: uncultured bacterium
Lineage: Bacteria
Description: partial 16S ribosomal RNA
Rfam family: Bacterial small subunit ribosomal RNA
Source: RNAcentral